AACCAUAAUGACUCAAGAUAGUGCAAUUCAUCAUUUAGUUCUUCUCAAUUCAUAUGGGUGAAGAAUGGACACUAUCUAUGGUGAUUGAUCUUAUAUACCUAAUAUCAAAGAGUGAAUGAUUUCUUCCAUUCUAUUUUUUUCUUACUUCCUAAUUAAACUAUCCUACCACACUCCUUAUCCUGUAUGUAUGUGACCCAGAUUCAUGGCCCGAGGUCAAUCUGAUUGUAGUUGUAUAUAAAAUAGUAUUUAAAGUUAAGGGGUUUUGAUAAUAAUGCCAAUAAUAGCACUUAAAUGUAAAGAAGUAGUAUAAAUUAAUCAAAAUCAAUAUUAUAGCCUUCGAUCUAUACAACAUAUUUGGGUCAAAAAAAAUCUAUACAACAUAUUUCAAUUUUUACAUAAAAUAUAUAACUUAUAAAAUCCAAUAGUGUCAUGAUACUAUGAUAGAAUCUUACGAUCUAGUAAUGUCAAGCAAGAAAACAAUACUUCCUAGGAUCCUUAUCCUAACAACAUUGAUAGCUCGCAUUCUGCGAUAAUAUAGAGUCCGAUUCGAAGAUAUAUUGGCAGUUGCACAUAUAUAAUUGCUAGUAAAAGUCCAAGGUUUAUAUUGCAAUCUGGCUAGCACUAUUACUAAAGAUAUUAGUGGUCUAUACCACAACUCGAAUCCAUGAGUUUCCCUAUGAUUUCUAAGGUUCCCUACGGUUUUUUAAGCAUCCUAGGGAAAGAUAUGGUUCCCUAGAGUUGGGCCAAAAAACCGUACGGAAACUUGGAUUUCCCUAGGAUUGCAUGUUUUCGUCGGGGUGGUUUCUGAGGAAGAGGCGCCUUCCUUGCCAUGCUGAUGCCUUUCCCUAUGACAUGGAUACAAUUCCUAGGGACAUUGGUCAAAUAAAAAAAUAAAAAUAAAAAAUCAGCCACUGAACACCAAAAUUUUUCGGAAAAAGUCUACAUAACCCUCCAAACUAUCUAGGGUCGAAUACUUCAUCCCCAAACUAUAAAAUCAGAUAUUCUACCCCCUAAACUUUCAAAACUGGACAAAUAACCCCUCGAGUGGUUUUAGAGGGUGGUUUUGUCUUUUUUAUUUAUUUAUUUUCACCGGAUCUUUAAAAAAUCUGUAACACCCGAUUUAAAGAACAAAAUCAGAUAUGCACCAUAUGUGAGUUUUAGAAGACAAACCUCACAUAUAGCUACAAAUAAGAGGUAAUAUCAAAAGACAAUGCAUAAAUUAUAUAACGUACAUAGUAAAUCAGAAACAACCUUAGGCAGCAAACCACGGAAGAUAACUCCAAACUUCGGGUGUUAACUUCACUCUACAGGAUCCAACUGAGUGGUUGAUCAUAAGCCCAAUACUUCUCCUGAGGUGUGGGGGAGAUAGCAAGAGUAAGUCCAAGACGAACUCCGCAAGUAUAGCAACUAGAUAGUAUGGAUCCCACGGUCUCAUGAUCAAUGUGACAUAAAUAACAUAGAGCAUUAAACAAUAAUCAAUGAGUUUCUUAACACAACAAGAUUCAUCACUCUUAAUGUAAGAAUCCCCAAGGCCACUCGUGACCGUGAGCACGGCUAGUAUACUAGUUUUUAACACUCUGUAGAGGUUGCACAUCUUUACCCAUGAGUCAUGAUUUACCCUUUCGCCCAAGGUGAUCAGCCUCUUAACCCUCUACC
This 1656-nucleotide long non-coding RNA is filed under the name Sorghum bicolor (sorghum). Its description in RNAcentral is "long non-coding RNA (SBIC_LNC015526)". Lineage: Eukaryota; Viridiplantae; Streptophyta; Magnoliopsida; Poales; Poaceae. The record is from RNAcentral.